Molecule: ribosomal RNA, 897 nt
Filed under: uncultured bacterium
Lineage: Bacteria
Description: bacterial SSU rRNA
Rfam family: Bacterial small subunit ribosomal RNA
Source: RNAcentral
UAGAGUUUGAUCCUGGCUCAGGACGAACGCUGGCGGCGUGCCUAACACAUGCAAGUGGAGCGACGAACCAGGGCUUGCCCUGGGGCGAAGCCGCGAACGGGUGAGUAACACGUGGGUAACCUGCCCCGAUGACCGGGACAACCCGAGGAAACUCGGGCUAAUACCGGAUGUGGUGUACACACGCAAGUGUGUCCACCAAAGGAAGCUUCGGCCUCCACAUUGGGAUGGGCCCGCGGCCCAUUAGCUUGUUGGUGGGGUAAAGGCCUACCAAGGCAACGAUGGGUAGCUGGUCUGAGAGGACGAUCAGCCACACUGGGACUGAGACACGGCCCAGACUCCUACGGGAGGCAGCAGUGGGGAAUCUUGCGCAAUGCGCGAAAGCGUGACGCAGCAACGCCGCGUGAGGGAAGACGGCCUUCGGGUUGUAAACCUCUUUCAGGAGGGACGAAGGUCCGCCCGCGAAUAGCGAGGCGGAUUGACGGUACCUCCAGAAGAAGCCCCGGCUAACUACGUGCCAGCAGCCGCGGUAAUACGUAGGGGGCAAGCGUUGUCCGGAAUCAUUGGGCGUAAAGCGCGCGUAGGCGGCCCGGUAAGUCCGCUGUAAAAGUCAAAGGCUCAACCUUUGAACGCCGGUGGAUACUGUCGGGCUAGAGUCCGGAAGAGGCGAGUGGAAUUCCUGGUGUAGCGGUGGAAUGCGCAGAUAUCAGGAGGAACACCAAUAGCGAAGGCAGCUCGCUGGGACGGUACUGACGCUGAGGCGCGAAAGCGUGGGGAGCGAACAGGAUUAGAUACCCUGGUAGUCCACGCCGUAACGAUGGGCACUAGGUGUGGGGAGGUGUCGACUCCUCCCGUGCCGUCGCUAACGCACUAAGUGCCCCGCCUGGGGAGUACGGCCGC